UUUUUAUUAUAACGGCCCAAGAAAAAGUUUAAGGAGGGUAAUAACCCCUCAUUUCCUCAGUCAGCAACCAAACGAGCCUAUGGGUGAGGGGAGGGUUUCUUGUGAAACCCUAGUGCCGCCUCCCCUUUCUCUUUCCUCUCUUCUCGUCACCGUUGCCUGAAAUGGCAAAGUACAGUGUACAAUCACUUUAUGCAGUCGUGGUUCAAUGAUUUGAGGCAAUACAUUAAAUAUUUGCCUCCUCUCUCUACCAAACGCAACCCAAAUGAGUUGAGGAGCAAGGAAGCAUCCAAGUCCAUUCUCGACAAGGUUGCACCUCAAAAAGGUAUUUUUUUUUUCUUUAGUUAAUUUUUCAGUAAUUAUGUGUUAAUUCAUUGUUUUAUGUGAUUUAUGUCUUAUGUAGUUAAUUAGUUUAAUCUUGCUUUAGUGUAGCCUAGGUCUGUUUUGAGCUAUUAAUUAUGCCCUUUAAUUGUAAUUGGCUUAGAUUAUUUACUUAUAAGUUAUACUUAGUUGUUUAGUUUAAGGUAAUUGUUAGCUCAUAUUAAUCCUGUUUUUGCCAGUUAAGUAGGAUUAAAGAUGUAGAAUCCCUAAUCAAUCCUGUCUAGUAUGCUUAUCUGUUCAAGAUAGUUUGUAUGUAAUAUAACAUGAUUAAGCAUUUGCCUCACCUAAAAUUGCUAAAUCCCUGUUAAUAUGUGUAGUCUAUUGAUUCAUUUAGGGCUUAAACUGGUAACUAUAUAAAUAUCUACUUGUGUUGUGAAAUUAAGCUAGACUUAAACUGUUUAGUCUUGUCUCUGUCUUUUUUUAAAUCUACCUAAGUGGUUGAGUUCAUGACUUUGCUAUACAUUGAUGUUGAGUACAUAAUAUUCCAUUGUGGAGUCUGAAGAAUCAUUAUUGCCUUAAUCUGUGCAUUCUUUUUCCAAAAAAAUCAUGUCACUAGAUUCAAAACUACAACCAUGUUUUCAAAAUGCCUCAUGUAUUUCCCACAUAAGUAAAGUCCCUAGCUUAUUUAACUAAGUCUUUGUUGGUAUUGCUUGAUGUUGUCAGAUGUUUUGAAUCACAUAAAACACUUGUGUUACCUUUCAAAACACUUUUGAAACUAAAAAAUGAAAAUGAUGUCCUGUGAGUUUUGAAGUUUAGAUUUGUGUUUAAAUAUAAGUGAUUUAAAGUUAGUGUCCCCUUACUAAGCUGAUCUUGUUUGUUUGAAACAAUCCGUGGACAACAACUCUCGCUUAUGCAAUAUUUGGAAUCUGUUAUGAGUUAAGAGGCUAAAGUCUGGGAUUUUUAAUGAAAUAUGAAGUUGGAAAGAGGAUAAACAUGCUAAUCAAGAUUUCGUCUAUUGUAAAUAACUUGGUAGUUGUUUUAUUUGGUCUCCAUAUGUUAGUUUAUGUGAAUCUGAGGUCCGAAUCAUGUUAUUUAAGAUCAUUAGUUUAAUUUGUCAAACUUGUUCAUGUCUAUGUGUUACAUUUAGAAUUGGGAAGACUUUAGUAAAAUGAUUUAGGCAUUUAAACCAUUUCAAAAGAUAGGCUGUCUCUUUUUAUAAAGGUCUUAAAGUUAGUAUAAAAUUGGUUAUGGACUGUUGUGCUUGAACUGUGAAGUGCCAUUUUGCUGAGGUUGACUUUUUCCUAAAUUAUGUAUCUUCUCUGCCUCUAUGUGUUGCAAAAAAUCAUGUGUUAGGUAGGGAGUAUAUGAAGUAUACAUUCUGCAUACACCAGGGUGUAUACAAGAGGUAUACUUCAUAUACCCCUUUGGAUGAAUGCUGGAAUUUGUCAUGAGAACAAAGAUUUGGGCCAAAUUUACCCCUCUUGAAUGUUUUUGUCAUAUGGGCCUAUACAUGAAUUAUGGUUUGGCUUAUGAAUUUUCCUUGAUUGUUAUUUGAUAUUGGGCCUCCGCCUCAAGCUAUUAUAUCUCCUCUGCUUUGUUUUCUUUAUGUAGCUGCUUGAUUUCCUCUCUGUAUUUUACUUGCUUAAGUAUGAAUUGUGUGUGCCUUAGUCCAAAUACUUAGACGAAUACUAAUCUUUAUCCCUUUGUGUUCCAUGUGAAUUCAACUUGGGCCAUUCGGCCACCCUUGCAUCAAACCUGUUGGGCUGGAGGGCCAACCCCUUUCUUGAUCGAGUCCGAAGAAGGAGAAAUGGAAGCUAAUAUGUUGAAGGCCCAGUCAUGGGUGAAAAUGGCAUUGAUGGGUUUGGGUCGGCCUAUCAGUUAAAGAUCUACUUUCUUCACUUCUUUACUUCAUAUAUAUCUUGUAUGUAUAUAUAUUGUUAUGUCCUGAACGUGUAAAUAAUGAACCCCUUGUGUAUGUUAGAACUUAGGAAAACUUUAGUGUUCUAGGAAGUCGCCAAACCAUUUUAAAUUUGGACAAUAAACUGCUUUGCAUGGAAAGAAAAAAAAGGACAAGACUUAGCUCGA
Lycium barbarum (goji berry) is the source of this 2403-nucleotide long non-coding RNA. RefSeq lists it as uncharacterized. The record is from RefSeq and is a predicted model, not a curated record. The transcript is spliced from 2 exons. NCBI's taxonomy places the organism in Eukaryota, Viridiplantae, Streptophyta, Magnoliopsida, Solanales, Solanaceae.